This 166-nucleotide unclassified non-coding RNA is filed under the name uncultured Pestalotiopsis. RNAcentral's name for it is "sequence contains ITS2". The record is from RNAcentral. Lineage: Eukaryota; Fungi; Ascomycota; Sordariomycetes; Amphisphaeriales; Amphisphaeriaceae.
CAACCCUUAAGCCUAGCUUAGUGUUGGGAGCCUACUGCUUUUGCUAGCUGUAGCUCCUGAAAUACAACGGCGGAUCUGCGAUAUCCUCUGAGCGUAGUAAAUUUUUAUCUCGCUUUUGACUGGAGUUGCAGCGUCUUUGGCCGCUAAAUCCCCCAAUUUUUAAUGG